RNAcentral lists this ribosomal RNA (221 nucleotides) under Grosmannia abieticola. RNAcentral describes it as "5.8S ribosomal RNA". The stretch from base 10 to 163 matches the Rfam family "5.8S ribosomal RNA". From Rfam's summary of the family: 5.8S ribosomal RNA (5.8S rRNA) is a component of the large subunit of the eukaryotic ribosome. It is transcribed by RNA polymerase I as part of the 45S precursor that also contains 18S and 28S rRNA. The record is from RNAcentral. Lineage: Eukaryota; Fungi; Ascomycota; Sordariomycetes; Ophiostomatales; Ophiostomataceae. RNAcentral also lists the same sequence under 1 other name.
AAUCGUUAAAACUUUCAACAACGGAUCUCUUGGUUCUGGCAUCGAUGAAGAACGCAGCGAACUGCGAUAAGUAAUGUGAAUUGCAGAAUUCAGCGAACCAUCGAAUCUUUGAACGCACAUUGCGCCCGCCAGCAUUCUGGCGGGCAUGCCUGUCCGAGCGUCAUUUCCACCCUCACGCGCCCCGGCGCGUGGUGUUGGGGCAUGCUGCGGCGGCCGCGAGG